Long non-coding RNA from Anolis carolinensis (green anole), 1267 nucleotides. RefSeq lists it as uncharacterized. The transcript is spliced from 3 exons. The record is from RefSeq and is a predicted model, not a curated record. NCBI's taxonomy places the organism in Eukaryota, Metazoa, Chordata, Lepidosauria, Squamata, Anolidae.
CUUAAGGGGAGGAGGGCUCUCAUUUGAUGACAUAGGAGACAUGGUGAAAUGAUGUCUUCCUGUCCCCUUCUUCAUCCUUUAUGCAAUCCUGGGGCUUAUAGUUUGAUGAGGCAUUGAAGUGCUGUAGCUGAGAAUCCCAAAUGUCCUUCUUUAAACUCUAAAUGUCAGGAUUCCAUAGUGCAGAACUGUGAAAAUUAAAGUGUACUAAUACCACUGGACCAGUAUAGUGUGAAUGAGUCCUGUGACCUUGUCACAUGGCCACCAGAAUUGUCAUGUAUUAUGGCAGAUCCAGCAAUCCUUGUCCUGGUGUGUGGGGAACUCAAUGCCAGUGUCUGGUUCCUGACGAAGCUGAUCCUUUGUGAGGAAGCAUUGACCAUGCAGCUUCCCCCCAUUGCUUCCUAUGGCAACAUGGGAAGCCUCCCAUGUUGCCGCAGUGAUGGCAGGUGCCGACUUCACCUUAGAUCAUCCUUGGAGCUCUGACAGAAGUUCCUCUGUGUCAUUUGAUGGGAGCCAGUGGACUCUGUGGAUGACCUAGGGCUUAACUGACAUAUGUCGUUGGUUUAAGCCCUAUAUGAUGUGGCUAGGCUGCAUUCAUCAGUCAAUUGGGUCAGGAAGGCCUUGCCAGAAGGUUUCACAUGGCAUGGAUUAACAAGAAUUUUCUGCAGUUUCCUUCAUGGUUUUUAUUGUUCGAAAACCAUUGAUGGCCAAUGUACUUGAAAAGGAGUCCCUAUCUCAGAGAGGAUGAGAUCAAGAAUGAUAUUCUACUUGGAUGAAGAGAGCUGCUAUGGAUGGCAGGAGACAGUGGCACCUGUAAAUGACAUCACUAGUGAGCACUUGCCUUUUGCUCAAAAAUGGUGUGGCUUUUGAUAACAAGCAGAGACAGGAGGAAGAAAAAAAACUAUUCAAAUGAGAAAGAAGAGGUUGCUGGAGAAAGGGGAGGAAAAAAAACAGAAGAGAAAAAUGGGUACAGAUGCAAUCAAAGUGGGUGUAGGUGCAGAGAAGCUGUGUGAAAGAAUCAUAUUAUCAAAGAGCUGAAAGACAACACAUCUAACUACUGAACCCUAACUCUAAAAUAAAUUCAAUAAUUUGGACCUGUAUCUUUUCCAAGGCAUAUUCAUUGUUCAUUGAUAUGACACUCAGAUGGUGUUGUAUAUGCAUAGACGAGAACAAAAAUGUCCCUAUUCAUGCUGGUCCUAUGACAGUGGUCAGUAGACAUCAGGUGAAUAUGCUAAUUAAAAAUAAAACCAAAUGUAUUUUCUGGAAAAUA